Callorhinus ursinus (northern fur seal) is the source of this 2534-nucleotide non-coding RNA. The record is from RefSeq and is a predicted model, not a curated record. Lineage: Eukaryota; Metazoa; Chordata; Mammalia; Carnivora; Otariidae.
UCCCAGGACCCUGGGAUCGUGACCCGAGCCGAAGGCAGAUGCUUAACGACUGAGCCACCCAGGUGCCCCGCUUCUUGCUCUUUUAAAAACUAGUGUCACAUGUGGAGCCAAGAAGUCAUAACAAGGGUUCAGCUUAUGCUGUGAUUAUGUCAAAAAGGAAAUUCUACUAUAGAUAUGUAAGAAUCGAUAUGCAAAGGAGAUGUGCAAAUCCAGAGAAAAUCGCCAAAACUACUAUUGUUGUGCCAGAAGUUUGAAAGUUUUUUUGUUUUUCUUUUAAAACUCAUCUAGAAAUUGGGAUGUGGAAAGUCAGAGUCACUUAAAAGCGACAAAAAUAUUGAAACAACCUGUUAAGUUCAUUUUGCUUAAGAAUUCCUCAGGAUGUCCACCAUCUCGUCAACCCCAUUAUUCCCUUGGGAAUGACUAGAGUUUGUCAAAUUCCACCCCCAUGUGAACCUGACCUGAAACUGUCAGAAGCAUGAAAUCCCUGGAAAGAGCUUUCAAGUUACCACAUUGCUGCACAUGAGCCGAAAAAUUUUCGUACAUGGAAGAAAAUAAACAUUCUAACUCUCUUCAUAAAGCAUGGCUUCUUGGAUAUGUUUUCUAAAAAGCAAAUGAUUAAAGCAAGAGACACGCCAGUCUUUUCUCCCUAGUCGUUAGGUUGGCAAUAGUAUGGAAUCAGUAAUUCUAAGAUCCUUUCUCCUACAUAACAGAAAGCACUGACCUAAAGAGUCUUGACUCUGGUUUGACUCUUUGGUCUGCCAAAGCCAAUCCAGACCAAGCCACUACCCCUUUCCCACACGUGUGAAAAGAAGAAAUAUCUCCAGCUCUUUGGAUUCCACAGAGUUGUUGUAAGGAUCAAACAAGAAAUUGCUUUAUAAACUAUAACUUGCUGUGCAAAUGCAUGGAAUGCUUGGGACACACAUUUUUCAAUAUCAUUUAUGCAAAUGCAGAUGAGUGCAUUAACUAUAGCCAGAAAAAUAACAAUAAAGAGCGUAGGAAGCAUGUAACAAUAAUAGUGGCUAACACUUAUGGAAUUCCAACUAUGUCUAGGCACUAGGCUAAGCACUUCAUAUGUAUUAUCUCAUUUAAUUAUCACAGUAACCCUUUAUGAGUUAUUAUUCCAUUUUUUAUAUAAGGACACCGUAGCUCAGAGAUGUCAGGUAAUUUGUUCAAGAGUUCACAGCAAGAGGAAGGUUAGAAACUCACAUCCAGGUCUCAAUAGUUACCUACUAUGUUUCAAUAUGUUUAUUUCUGUUGGCUAGGAGUUUGAGAAAUCAUAUAAACCCCCUCUGGCAUGCAAGAGAAUGAUAAAGGAAACAAAAGAAGAAGCUGAAGAGUGAGAAGAAAUAGAAGAAGCUAGACAGUCACAACACACUUUAAUUCUUCUUUAGAAAGCCAUCAGAAAUCUUUAUUAUCUAAGAUAGUUCUGCAAAGUGUCUUAUAAAAUCACAUUGUGAUUUCUGGACUAUUUCCAACCUUGAAUGUUGGUCAUCCCUGAGGUAGGAAAGAACAACUUGCAACAUUCCUCCCAUGGGGAUGGCAACAGCAAUAUACAGCUAGACUGUGGAAGUUGGACAGGACUCCCAUGGCUGAGUCCAGCAAAGACAUCUCUUCUUGAUUUUCCAGGUACCAUGCUGGAGCACAAAAUACAGUCUUACAUAUAGAGAUGGUGCUAUAGGAAAAUACAUGCCACCUUAUACACAGCCCACUGACAAGCUUUUGGAAUCCAACUUGCUUAUAAUAGGGGGACCACAUCUAUGAUGUGGAGUUUCACUUGAGCUGGGCAAUUGAAAGUUGUCUACAUUUGCUUUUCUAAAUGAUUUUCCCCAGAUCCUUCUUAUGCUUUUUAUUAGGAGGCCUUUUUUCCCCCCAUUGGUAUAGUAUUUGAUUUUAAGAACAAAGGUAUCCUUCCUUGCCAGUAUAGUAUUAUAGCCAUCAAAAGAAGGCUCAGACACCAGAUAAAGGCCUGUGUAACUAGAAUGAGGGAAUGGCCUAUAUUUUCAACCAAGUUCAUCAUCUCACAAAUGAAAAGUUCAAAGCAAAAGAUAGGCUGUUUUAGGCCAAGUCCUCCAGGGUAUUUUCUUUUUCAAUUACCCAAUGAGAAUCCAGAAAUGUGGGUUUUUGUGCAUGAGAAGUGAUUGCAAUUCAACAUUAGGACCUUAAAACAUCACUGGAUUCAUCUUUAAAACUGAUUUAUUAGAGAAUGCACUGACAAUGGCAGGCCCUGAGAGCUCGCCCCAGAAGAUAGACAACAUGUGUUUCAAAAUGUAGUCACCCUUCAAGCUAAGUAGGCUCAUUUGAACAAUAGUUCCUAAAUUACAGCUAAAAUGAAUUUCCCUACAGAAGAUCAUCAGGGAGAGAGCCGAAAGUAAUACUUGGGCCAUACACAUUUGUUUUUAUUGUAGUAAAAUACACAUAACAUAAAUUUACCAUUUUAACCAUUUUUAAGUGUUCAGUUCUGUGACAUUAAGUAUGUUCACAUUUCUGUAUAACUAUCACCACCAUCCGUCUCCACUCAGAAUUCAUUCAAAGAU